AGACGGUUCCAGGCUACGCAGGGCGUGGCGGUGGCGGUGCGCGGCGCGCUGUGCAGACGACAGUCCUUGCGCAAAAAAAAAAAAAAAACGUCAAGCGCGCUCAAGAGCCUUUCUCCCGAAGUAGAAUUCCAAGUUCUUUACCACGCUAUGUUUUUCAGAAGACUUCGAGGCUUGCAGCAUGAGUGACCACCAGCAUCAUCGCCUUAAGAGCGCGACGAAGACACAAGAAACACCGUCGAAAUGUUGGUUCUUGUAAGCUUAAGGGCAGCAUCACUUCGUCCUUUCUGCCAAGUGGACAGCUUUCGGCGUAUUCCCAAGUAUUUGAAAGUUCCUGCGCCCGCUGCGCAUCUCCACGGCGUCGUGUGUGGUCUGGUCACAAACCUGUUGGCUGGAGAGAAGUCUUGUGAAAGAGAGAGAGAGAGUCUUGUGAGAAGCUGUGCUUACAUUGAAUGCAUCCAGCUACACCCUCUCACUCUGUGCGUGCGUACUGGCGCCCUCUCUUUCUUCUGUAGCGCUCACUGUAGAAGUGACGAUCUUUUCGCGAUUAUUUUAUUGAUGUCUGGACAGCUCACAGACGAAUGCGAAAGGUUUACGGACGGGGGAGCGUGCCACAAUGGUUUAGUGCGUCAUUCGCAGUGCGUCACUUGCCUGUCUUACAAGCUCACAGAACGAGGCAUGCGUCAUUGCGCUGACAGAGCACGUGAAAAGAAGGAAAAGUCGCAGAGUUUAUCAAUCCAGUAAACUGAGAAAUGUUAAGUUAGCCUAAAGUGAUCGCUCUAAUAAACUUUAUUAUUUCCUUGUA
Dermacentor albipictus is the source of this 802-nucleotide non-coding RNA. NCBI's taxonomy places the organism in Eukaryota, Metazoa, Arthropoda, Arachnida, Ixodida, Ixodidae. The record is from RefSeq and is a predicted model, not a curated record.